AGUGGGGAAUUUUGGACAUGGGGGAAACCCUGAUCNGCCUCCCGCGUGUAUGAUGAAGGCCUUCGGGUUGUAAAGUACUUUUGGCAGAGAAGAAAAGGUAUCCCCUAAUACGGGAUACUGCUGACGGUAUCUGCAGAAUAAGCACCGGCUAACUACGUGCCAGCAGCCGCGGUAAUACGUAGGGUGCAAGCGUUAAUCGGAAUUACUGGGCGUAAAGCGUGUGUAGGCGGUUCGGAAAGAAAGAUGUGAAAUCCCAGGGCUCAACCUUGGAACUGCAUUUUUAACUGCCGAGCUAGAGUAUGUCAGAGGGGGGUAGAAUUCCACGUGUAGCAGUGAAAUGCGUAGAUAUGUGGAGGAAUACCGAUGGCGAAGGCAGCCCCCUGGGAUAAUACUGACGCUCAGACACGAAAGCGUGGGGAGCAAACAGGAUUAGAUACCCUGGUAGUCCACGCCCUAAACGAUGUCAACUAGCUGUUGGGGCCGUUAGGCCUUAGUAGCGCAGCUAACGCGUGAAGUUGACCGCCUGGGGAGUACGGUCGCAAGAUUAAAACUCAAAGGAAUUGACGGGGACCCGCACAAGCGGUGGAUGAUGUGGAUUAAUUCGAUGCAACGCGAAAAACCUUACCUACCCUUGACAUGUCUGGAAAGCCGAAGAGAUUUGGCCGUGCUCGCAAGAGAACCGGAACACAGGUG
This 693-nucleotide ribosomal RNA is filed under the name Alcaligenes sp. AR1. Its description in RNAcentral is "bacterial SSU rRNA". It matches the Rfam family "Bacterial small subunit ribosomal RNA", at positions 353 to 1040 of the family's 1533-position model. The record is from RNAcentral. Lineage: Bacteria; Pseudomonadati; Pseudomonadota; Betaproteobacteria; Burkholderiales; Alcaligenaceae.